RNAcentral lists this ribosomal RNA (1085 nucleotides) under uncultured organism. RNAcentral's name for it is "bacterial SSU rRNA". It matches the Rfam family "Bacterial small subunit ribosomal RNA", at positions 332 to 1444 of the family's 1533-position model. The record is from RNAcentral.
CAUACUCCUACGGGAGGCAGUUGCUGGGAAUAUUGCACAAUAGGCGACAUGCCUGAUGCAGCGACGCCGCGUGAGUGAAGAAGGCCUUCGGGUCGUACAGCUCUUGUGUAGGGGACGAGGAAUGACGGUACCCUAAGAAGAAGCGUCUGCUAACUACGUGCCAGCAGCCGCGGUAGGACCUAUGACGCGAGCGUUAUCCGGAAUUACUGGGCGUACUGGGCCAGCACGCGGCUUGGUAUGUUGUGCGUGAAAGCCUCGUGCUCAAUGCUGAGGAAGCCGGACAAUACUGUCAAGCUAGAGGGCAUCAGAGGGGAGUGGAAUUCCCGGAGUAGCGGUAAAAUGCGCAGAUAUCGGGAGGAACACCGAUGGCGAAGGCAGCUCCCUGGGAUGCACCUGACGCUAAGAGGCGAAAGCUAGGGGAGCGAACAGGAUUAGAGACCCUGGUAGUCCUAGCUGUAAACGCUGGGUGCUAGGUGUGGGACGUAGAAGUUCCGUGCCGGAGCAAACGCGAUAAGCACCCCGCCUGGGAAUUACGGUCGCAAGGCUAAAACUCAAUCGAAUUGACGGGGCCCCGCACAAGUAGCGGAGCGUGUGGUUCAAUUCGAUGCUACACGAAGAACACUUACCUGGGUUUGACAUGUACGUGGUACGAAGGCGAAAGCCUAAGGACCAUUCGGGGAGCGUACACAGGUGCUGCAUGGCUGUCGUCAGCUCGUGCCGUGAGGUAUCGGGUUAAGUCCCGUAACGAGCGCAACCAUUGCCCUUAGUUACAAGUGUCUAAGGGGACUGCCGUCGGGAAGCCGGAGGAAGUUGGGGAUGACAGUCAAGUCAGCAUGGCCCUUAUGUCCAGGGCUACACACACGCUACAAUGGUCAGUACAAAGGGUAGCGAAGUCGCGAGACGGAGCGAAUCUCUACAAAGCUGAUCGUAGUUCGGAUUGCAGGCUGCAACCCGCAUGCAUGAAGCUGGAGUUGCUAGUUACCGCGCGUCAGCCAUAGUGCGGUGAUACGUACCCGGGGCUUGUACACACCGCCAGUCACGUCAUGGGAGUCGGUAACGCAUGAAGCCGGUAGUCUGGCCCGCAA